GACCCUGAAUGUGUUAAAAGUAAUGUCAAGUGCAGAAAUGAUGCCUGUUUUGGACCAAACUCGAUGAGACUUAAGAAAAAAGAAGAAAAAGAUGUGUUUUGCUUGAAGUGAUGGUGCCUCCAAAUGCCCCCAUGAAGUCUGUUUUCCAGCUUAUAGCAUCAGAUAUGGAGAAACUGAAGCAGCUCCAGGAACAGUUGAAUGGCAAAAGCAAAUCUAAAAACACCUUGCAGUAUCCUGCAGAGAUUCUAAUACAGAAAAAAUCGAAUUCUUGGAGCAUCUUAUAAAGUA
Molecule: non-coding RNA, 288 nt
Organism: Coturnix japonica (Japanese quail)
Lineage: Eukaryota; Metazoa; Chordata; Aves; Galliformes; Phasianidae
Source: RefSeq, a predicted model, not a curated record